GAGAGCAAUGCAUGUCAAUGAUCCUGCUGUUGUUACACCAUUUGGUAUGCACGUAAACACAGAGUCCCCAUCCUCUGCUCUUACCCGAGUCCCUGUUUCGAUGUAGCCGGUGUAGCGUGCGGUCCGUCAGCUGAACUGCGGCGUCCGGAAUCAGCGGAUGAAGCCACGUCUCCAUGAUGGAGAUAAUGCUGCAGUUCCUCACAAAGUAGUUUGUAGCCAACUGUAACUCCAACUCGUCCAUUUGUGAGGAAGACACUUGGUAGCGAUGGUCUGUGAGGAUGCUUCCUCAGUCUAGCAUCAUGGCCCGACCGGCAUCCUCGUUUCUGCUUCCUUUCUCUAAGCCGUCUUCGUCGCUUCGUAGCUGAACACUGACAUCUAU
Molecule: long non-coding RNA, 379 nt
Organism: Melanotaenia boesemani (Boeseman's rainbowfish)
Lineage: Eukaryota; Metazoa; Chordata; Actinopteri; Atheriniformes; Melanotaeniidae
Exons: 3
Source: RefSeq, a predicted model, not a curated record